RNAcentral lists this long non-coding RNA (997 nucleotides) under Melopsittacus undulatus (budgerigar). RNAcentral's name for it is "lncRNA (ENSMUNG00000020157.1)". The record is from RNAcentral. Lineage: Eukaryota; Metazoa; Chordata; Aves; Psittaciformes; Psittaculidae.
AGCCCCUGUUCCCCCCCAUGGACCCCAAUGGAUGCCCCUACUCCCCCCCAUGGACCCCAAUGGAUGCCCCUGCACCCCCCCAUGGACCCCAAUGGAUGCUCCUACACCCCCCCCCAUGGACCCCAAUGGACCCCUCCGCCCCCCCCCCCCAGGUGCUGUUGCUCUUGGCUGUGCCCCCCCCCGGCGGCUGCUGCUCCUUCGAGUUCAACCCCGUGAGCAGCACGAUCCGGGCCCACGUGGAGGCCGUGACCCCAUGGUUGCUCCUGGAUUACACCGUGGAGAUGCCGGAGAACCUGGAGCCGCUCUCCCCAUGCUCCCAGCUCUGGACGCUCCGGUUCGGGCUCGCCGCUCUCCGCUCCUUGGCCUCCCGCGCGGGGGGGGCGCUGUCCCCGCGGCUCCAGGCGCUGGCCGCGCAGCUGCACUUCCUGAGCAGCUGUCCAAUCAGCGUGAGCGGGGCGGGGCUAGGGGCGGGGCUACGGCCGGGGCUCUAUGUGGGGUCUCUCUAUGGUCUCUACGGUCUCUAUGGGUCUCUAUAGUCUCUAUGGUCUCUCUAGUCUCUAUGGUCUCUAUGGGUCUCUAUGGUUUCUCUAGGGUCUCUAUGAGUCCCUAUGGUCUCUAUGGAUCUCUAUGGGUUCUCUAUGGGUCUCUAUGGAGCCUCUAUGGGGUCUCUAUGGUCUCUAUGGGUCUCUAUGGGGUCUCCAUGAAUCUCUAUGGGUCUCUAUGCGGUCUCUAUGGGUCUCCAUGUGUCUCUAUGGGUCUCUAUGGGUCUCUAUGCUCUCUAUGGGUCCCACUGACCACCCCAUUGCCCCCAGGACCCCCAGGGCUGCGCUCGCCUGCGCCCCAUGAACCUCUCCCAGCUCCUGGGGGGGCUGGAACUGCAGCUGGGGGGGCUGCGGGAGCGCCCCCCCCCACCCCACACCUGCACCCACCUGCGCUGCACCAAGGGUACUGGCCCCAUAGCGACCCCCAUAGGAACCCCAAUGGGGACCCCCUAUAG